This is a long non-coding RNA of Cavia porcellus (domestic guinea pig), 2135 nucleotides long. The record is from Ensembl. NCBI's taxonomy places the organism in Eukaryota, Metazoa, Chordata, Mammalia, Rodentia, Caviidae.
GUUAGUUUAACUCCAAUACGCAGCGUAGUCGUCCAAAUGCUUCUUCCCCGCCCCCUGCUCCCGGGAGCGCUCAUCUGGCCAGGACAGGCGCGCCCAGGUCUCAGGAGCUCACGAGAUGUGACAGCCAAAGUCCCCGCCUCGCGGGCCUCGGGGCGCACAGCGCGUUCCCGCCCGCCUGGCCAGGGGGAGUUUGCCUUCGGAGUCGGCCCGGCCAGCGGGAGUGGGGGAGGAGUGGGACCCGGUCCUGCGAUCCCCCAACCACUCCGCGAGCCGGCGCUAGGUCGGGGCACCCCUGCGGUGCUCGCUCCGCAGCAGCAGCGCGGUCUUGGAGCCCCAGCAACAGCACCACUCCGCCGAAAAAGGAAAGAAAGGAACCGAGAAUCGCCCUCUCUCUUCUUUUAGUUCGAAAACUUCCGAGCAGCGCGCCUGCCUCCCACGGCCCGGAGCCCUCUCGCCAGCACCCCGGUCCCCCGGGUCUCCCCGCCGCGCUGGACCGCGAGGCCGAGCUCCCCCGACCCCCAGGCCGACCGAGCGGCGUCCAGACCUCGACCUCAACGCGCAUCCCGCAAGCCAAGACCCCGCCCGCGGGCCAUCGACUGAGCCUCUCGCGGCCCCCCGCUCACCUCGUCCACCUCGAGGCGCCGACGGGAUUUCUGCCAAUCGGCGAGCGCCCUGCGGGGAACAACCUUCUCUUCAGCCAAUCGGCGGCGAGGCCAGGUACUGGGUCAGCCGAGACCCUGCUCCGCCUGGGAGUCCGAAAACCUUUGGGAUCUCUGACGCUUGUCUCCAUCUGGGACAUCCUGUUUGCUUUGCACCCUUAUUAAGCAGGUUUUUCUCUGCCCGAGGCAGACAGCCAAGGAGAAUGAGAAAGAAUGCAAACACUACUUGCUAAACAGAUGCGCGUAUCUCCUGGAAAAAUGUUACAAGCCCGCAGUAUCUUGUUUGUUUAACCAUAAACGUGUUUCGGCGCAUUUUCACAGCUUGUAACAAGCCUUAGAAGCCAGAGGCAGUUCUAAGAACAGUUUAGAAUCCAGGUAGCCGAGAACCAGAGAAAUUCGAUGUAGUGUAACCCACCUACAGUUAAUGAAUGGAAAUCUGUGUGUAGACAAAGCCUACAAAGUUCCUAAAGAGUUCUGACAGCCCUUGCAAAUAACCACCUGAAGCCCAAAUAUAGUUUACCGAAGAGAUUAUGGUCCUCCUGUGUUUGCAACUUUAUCCAGCACUUACACUUUUCUCAUACCCACUCUGAUGUGCUUAUCUAUGGAAUGGUCCUGUCACCAAACACUUCAGCACUUGAAACUUGGGAUUUUUCUCUGUAUCAUUUGCUUCACAUAGCUAUCAAAAUCCUAAUCAUUCUUCACAAGGCUUCCUGUUUUUUAUAGAAGGCUGUGCAGGUCUCUCAUACACUGUGACUGCACAGGGCCAGGCGGCUAGGCUUGCAAUCCACAAAUAAUUUAGGUCACCCUUGGACCUUCUGCCGCCUCACGGCGCCUAAUUCAGCCAUCACCAAGAAUCAAGUUCUCACAGAAUCUUGCUUCUGGUGCUUUGUGUCUCAGACAAAGAAGAUAAAGAAGUCAACAGGCAAAAUCCUCUGCUAUGAGCAGGUGUUUUAAGAAUUUCCCCUCCAUACCCUGUAAUACUUUUAUUCCCUUGAAUGGUUUUAUACUAUGGUGUUGUGUUUGAUACUCCAGUGUAUGAAGGUAUACUCAAAUAUUUCAAGGAAGGAGACACUAUGGUAGCUACUGUUAUGUUGGGUUGUCUGGUGGUGAAACACUAUGUUGCUUAAAUUGUUCUGUUCUAAUCUGUUUUGUUAUGUCCUCUUUUAUCUUAAUCUUUUUAAAAUAAAAAAUUAGAAAAUAAAAAGAAAGAAAUUCCCCUCUGUUGUAAAACUUUGGUUCCUGGCAGUAUGAAGACUCCCACAGUGGCAACCAUAGCACACACUGAAUGCCAGGAUCUGACCGUGGUAGGGUCACCUUCCUCAUGCUUCGCCAAAAAAACUCCUUUGCAGUGCCAAAAUCAGUAAAUAAAUCCACGAAGCCUUCUCUUCAUCCAGUGUUUCCCGGCUCUUUUAUUACAUCAUACCUUCCUUCUCACUCUUCACCAACUGAAAGCCUGCUUGCUUCAGUUCUUUGUCU